GACGAACGCUGGCGGCGUGCUUAACACAUGCAAGUCGAACGGAAAGGCCCUGCUUUUGUGGGGUGCUCGAGUGGCGAACGGGUGAGUAACACGUGAGUAACCUGCCCUUGACUUUGGGAUAACUUCAGGAAACUGGGGCUAAUACCGGAUAGGAGCUCCUGCUGCAUGGUGGGGGUUGGAAAGUUUCGGCGGUUGGGGAUGGACUCGCGGCUUAUCAGCUUGUUGGUGGGGUAGUGGCUUACCAAGGCUUUGACGGGUAGCCGGCCUGAGAGGGUGACCGGCUACAUUGGGACUGAGAUACGGCCCAGACUCCUACGGGAGGCAGCAGUGGGGAAUAUUGCACAAUGGGCGGAAGCCUGAUGCAGCAACGCCGCGUGCGGGAUGACGGCCUUCGGGUGGUAAACCGCUUUCGCCUGUGACGAAGCGUGAGUGACGGUAAUGGGGAAAGAAGCACCGGCUAACUACGU
Molecule: ribosomal RNA, 467 nt
Filed under: uncultured bacterium
Lineage: Bacteria
Description: partial 16S ribosomal RNA
Rfam family: Bacterial small subunit ribosomal RNA
Source: RNAcentral